This is an RNA transcript of Odobenus rosmarus divergens (Pacific walrus), 1416 nucleotides long. It is a transcript of the gene named vimentin-like, with no coding region annotated. Lineage: Eukaryota; Metazoa; Chordata; Mammalia; Carnivora; Odobenidae. The record is from RefSeq and is a predicted model, not a curated record. The transcript has a single exon.
AUGUCCACCAGGUCCGUGUCCUCCUCCUACCGCAGGAUGUUCGGCGGCCCCGGCACCGGGAGCUGGCCGAGCUCCACACGGAGCUACCUGACCACGUCCGCCCGCACCUACAACCUGGGCAAGCGCGUUGCGCCCCAGCACCAGCCGCAGCCUCUAUGCCUCGUCCCCGGGAGGCGCGUACGCCACGCGCUCCUCCGCCGUGAGCCUGCUGCAGGACUCGGUGGACUUCUCGCUGGCCGACGCCAUCAACACCGAGUUCAAGAACACCCGCACCAACGAGAAAGUGGAGCUGCAGGAGCUGAAUGACCGCUUUGCCAACUACAUCGACAAGGUGCGCUUCCUGGAGCAGCAGAACUAGAUCCUGCUAGCCGAGUAGAGCAGCUCAAGGGCCAGGGCAAGUCGCGCCUGGGGGACCUCUACGAGGAGGAGAUGCGGGAGCUGCGCCGGGAGGUGGACCAGCUCACCAAUGACAAGGCCCGCGUCGAGGUGGAGCGCGACAACCUGGCCGAGGACAUCAUGCGGCUCCGGGAGAAGUUGCAAGAGACGAUGCUUCAGAGAGAGGAAGCCGAGAGCACCCUGCAGUCUUUCAGACAGGAUGUUGACAGUGCUUCUUUGGCACGUCUUGACCUUGAGCGUAAAGUGGAAUCCUUGCAAGAAGAGAUUGCCUUUUUGAAGAAACUACAUGACGAGGAAACCCAGGAGCUGCAGGCCCAGAUUCAGGACCAGCAUGUCCAAAUCGAUAUGGAUGCUUCCAAGCCUGACCUCACGGCUGCCCUGCGUGACGUACGCCAGCAGUAUGAAAGCGUGGCUGCCAAGAACCUUCAGGAGGCCGAGGAAUGGUACAAGUCCAAGUUUGCUGACCUCUCUGAGGCUGCUAACCGGAACAACGAUGCUCUGCGCCAGGCAAAGCAGGAGUCGAAUGAGUACCGGAGACAGGUGCAGUCAGUCCCUCACCUGCGAAGUGGACGCCCUCAAAGGGACUAACGAGUCUCUGGAACGCCAGAUGCGUGAAAUGGAAGAGAACUUCGCCAUCGAAGCUGCUAACUACCAAGACACUAUUGGCCGCCUGCAGGAUGAGAUUCAGAACAUGAAGGAUGGCCCGUCACCUUCGGGAAUACCAGGACCUGCUGAAUGUCAAGAUGGCUCUCGACAUUGAGAGCCACCUACAGGAAGCUGCUGGAAGGCGAGGAGAGCAGGAUUGCUCUGCCUCUUCCAAACUUUUCUUCCCUGAACCUGAGGGAAACCAAUCUGGAUUCCCUCCCUCUGGUUGACACUCACUCAAAAAGGACACUUCUGAUUAAGACGGUUGAGACUAGAGAUGGACAGGUUAUCAAUGAAACUUCUCAGCAUCACGAUGACCUUGAGUAAAGAGGGCACAGAGUCGAUGCAGCAAUACUACCAGCAAGAAUAAAAAAA